This 646-nucleotide ribosomal RNA is filed under the name Silene tamaranae. RNAcentral describes it as "eukaryotic LSU rRNA". The stretch from base 247 to 401 matches the Rfam family "5.8S ribosomal RNA". Lineage: Eukaryota; Viridiplantae; Streptophyta; Magnoliopsida; Caryophyllales; Caryophyllaceae. The record is from RNAcentral.
UCGAAACCUGCCCAGCAGAGCGACCCGUGAACAUGUUCAACCUCAUGGGUGCUGGGGCGUUGCUCGGUGCCUUGUGUGCCGGCUCGCCCCUCUCCCAGGCGGGGGAGCGCCCACUUGUGGGCUGUUCCCCGGCUAACCAACGAACCCCGGCGCGUAAAUGCGUCAAGGAAUAUAAACUUUAUGUGUGUGCUCUCCUAUUGCCCGGUUAGCCGGGCGUUGGAGUGGUGCCAUGUCUUAACAAUAAACGACUCUCGGCAACGGAUAUCUCGGCUCUCGCAUCGAUGAAGAACGUAGCGAAAUGCGAUACUUGGUGUGAAUUGCAGAAUCCCGUGAACCAUCGAGUUUUUGAACGCAAGUUGCGCCCGAAGCUUUUGGCUGAGGGCACGUCUGCCUGGGCGUCACGCAUCGCGUCUCCCCCACAUUCCACCUUGGUGGAGGGGAAGGAGGAUGGUUUCCCGCGACUCACCGGUCACGGUUGGCUUAAAAUUGGAGCCCUCGGCAUCGGGAUGCCGCGGCGAUAGGUGGUGAACAAGGCCUCGGCCAAGCAAGCAACCCGUCGUGCAUGCCGUGCCAAUUCGGGCUCGAAGGACCCUUUGUCGUUGUCUUUAAGGCAACCAAACCGUUGCGACCCCAGGUCAGGCGGGGC